This is a long non-coding RNA of Mauremys reevesii (Reeves's turtle), 2192 nucleotides long. RefSeq lists it as uncharacterized. The record is from RefSeq and is a predicted model, not a curated record. NCBI's taxonomy places the organism in Eukaryota, Metazoa, Chordata, Testudines, Geoemydidae. The transcript has 4 exons.
GGGAGAUAGGUUCCUUUCUCAUUCACAUACAAACUGUCCUGGUGUGAUCUCUGCUGCAGACAUGGAAACAUAGACAGGGACUCCACCCCUGAUACUAUCAUCCUGCACAGUCUAGACAUACCCCAAAUGUUUGAUCAAACAAUGAAAUAUACUGAGCCAUAAUACACUUUCAUCUAUACCCGUGUAACUCCAAUGAAUCCGACAGGCAUCUUCCUGUCAUUAUGUACAGUCCACGUAGGAGCCAGAUACUCUGACAGAGUUGGUCAGCAUUGAUUUCAAUGGAGUUAUGAGUGAAGAAUUCUUCGCAAUUUCCUAAGGCUGACUAGCAAGAAUCUGCCAUUGCUGUUCCAGACCAUUUCUCCACCAAAGUUGACACUACUUUUAAACCUGUCAGACAUUAUCGCCCCAAUGCAAUUUUCCCCAAAAUGUCUUUGUCAUGGACUCAACAAAUAUGAGGUAAUGUCUCUGACCUGUGGAUCACCUGCUUCAGUGCUUUUGUGCUAUCAAGGACAGCCAGAGACACAUUUUAGAUAAAAAGGAUUUACUAAACGGUCACAAAAUAAUACUGAGGGCAGUUAGACACUGACACUGUAGCUCAAGAAAUGGCCAGUCCUGCAAGAUGCUGAGUACAUUCUAUGAGGUGAUUAAUAUCCUCAGGUCCUAAUGCAAUCAAGGCACUCGUUACCUUUCAGACUUGAGCUCUCAGUCCCUAAUGAUUUUGGGUAAAUUAAAACCAAACAACAACAAACUAAAUAGCUAAGAAGCCCGAGUCUUGUUCCUAAAUGGGACUUAUGCUACUAAGUUAGGCACUUUUGAAAAUGGUAUCCUUAAGGCAAGUCUACACUACAGUCCUGCAUCGGCGCAGCUGCACUGCAUUGCACCUGCACUGUGAAGACGCAUGCAUGUGGUGAAGACGCACUAUGCCAACAGGGGAGUGCUCAUCUGUUGGCAUAAUUACUCCCCCUCAGCAUGAAGUGUAAACAAUGUCGGUGGGAGAGCGUCUCCUGCUGACAUAAUGCUAGUGUGGACAGCGCAAAACUUGCAUCACUCAGCGGGUUAGAUCGACUUAACCAGUAGUGUAGACCUGUCCUUAGUCUUUUUUAUAGCAUGAUGCAAGAUGUCUUUUUUUUUCCUUCAGACUUUCUACUAAUUUGAGGUUUUGGAGUCCCUCAGCAAUUAGGUUCCUGGCUGCUAUUCCUCUGAUUAAAAAAUUUAAAGUCAGAAGGGACCAUUAUGCCAUUUAAUCCGUUUUCUGGCAUAACACACGUUAUAGAAUUUCCACCAGAAAAUCCUAUGUGAAGCCAUAAUUUCUGGUUAAAAAGUUUACAUGGCUAACACUUGGAAUUGAACCAAGGCUCCCCAGAACUAAAAGCACCAGCCUAUACAACUAAAGCUAAAGAGCCAGAUUUUCUGAUGAUGGUCUUCUUUAAGAAAGUUGGUUUGACCUUUAUGAGGGAAUGCAGAGUAUAUCCUCCCUUUUUGAAAGUGUUCUAUUGUAGCAGUUCUAAUCAUGUGAAGAGCACCCAGGUAUUAUAGAGAAGGGCACUUUAUAGUUACCUGCUCAUAAAGCUCAUGAUGACACCAAGGCCAAAAGUUUUGAACUUGAGUGCCUAAAGCUAAUCAGGUAAGUUGUAGGUACCCAAAGAUGAAGACCCUGUACCCAGAUCCAAGCACAGCCAACAAAUUACUAUUGUGACAUGAGGCCUAUCUGGAUGACCAACAUCAACUUGGACACCACAGUUCCAUUUAUGGAUCCCAAGCCUUUUCCUCAGCCCUCUUUUAGGACUGUCCUUGCCAACAGGGAGACGUUGGUUUCUCGUGUUGGAGAGCUAAUACUAUACAAGAUGUAAGCUAUCCCCCAGGUUUGUCCCCCAACCAUUUUUGAAUCAUUCUAACCCCCUGAUCACCAGUCCAUGUAAAAGGUUCAUGAGAUGAGAGCAACACCUCUCCCAUCUUUGUUCUAGUCUCACUGUCCGGGAUUAUCAACAUAGCAAAUAAAUAUUUGAGCAGGAAAUAACAUGCAAAACUCAAGAGGCUUAUGCAGCCAUCUGGUGAGCAUGUAAAGCUCUUGAGAAAAAAGGGUAUAAUGAGGGGAACACUGCUCCAGCUUGUCGAUUACAAUAAGAUUUCAGUAUGUAACAGAGUAUCUAAGUGGAAAAUUCUGGGUACCAGAAAUAAAAUGUGAUGCUAUA